AAAACUUGUUACCGCUUAAGUGUUACGACAGAACAAAAAAAGACAAAACUCUUAAACUUUCUCUCGAAACUCAGUGUCUUCUUCUCGGUCAUGUUAUCUGGUCCUUUCUUCAUGGCUCACACCGGAAAAACCUAUAAUCGUCGUCGUCCAUGGCCACCGAAGUUGAAUCUCCUGGACGUCUCUGCAGCGUUUCUCUAAGGAAGAAGAAGCCUCCCAGUUCUCUCGGCAAAGAUGCUCACAAGUACACACCCUAAGGUUUUUAAUUCUUAGAUCAAGUGUUCGUACGAUUCAUAUUUAGUUUGUUUCGGUCUCAAAAGUAUUUCUUAUAGUGUGUUUGAUUGGAAAUUUGACAAUUUUAUAUAUUAGCAAGAUGCUUUAUAUUCAGUUAAAAGAAGGUUCGAGCUUCAGAAAAUAGUGGCUGCUUUCCUCAACCUUAAAGCUCGAUGAGCAUCUUCUCAGUCGCCUUGUAUCACGUUGUAAGCUGUGAACAUUUUUAACAAGAUUAAAUCCUAAAGUCUCUACCUUUUUUAUCUAUAAGAGUAACAGUUAGUUUCCUUUGAGUUUGUUUUACAGUAACCGGUACCAUAGUUCCAAGGAUUAUACUUGUCUUUGCUGCCCUUGCCGUUAGUGAUUCAAAUGGCUUCAAUUCUGACCCAGAUGUUUUUAGUUGUUUAUCUUGUGCCCCUUGUUUUCUAUCUGAUUUCAACCACCUUAGUAGGCAGUUAUUGAUAAUUUUCCCUUUUUUGCAGAUCGUGAACCUGUGUCAAUGCUCUCCAUAGAAGAAUCUCUCUACUAAAUAAAAUAAAGGAGUCAGGUUCUAGGGAGCUAUGCUUCUUGAGUUCGAAGCAAAUAAAGAAGUCAAGUUUUCCUAAGCGACUCAGGACAAGCUGCUCCACAGCUAUAUCACUGGCAUAUAAAGCAUCCAGAGAGUCACAGACAAGUCCAAUACUUUUUCAUCAGAGUUCUCCAUACCAAUCAUGACACGCAUCCUUGACUUCACAGACAAACUUGCACAGAAGAUCACUGAAGCGGUUAAGUUCAUUGUUGUUUAACAACACUUCUCCAAGCGGUUAAGUUCAUUGUUGUUUAACAACACUUCUCCAACACUGAUCACGAUGAGGAUGACAGCCAAAGCUCCAACUUACAAACAUCAGUCACACCUUUUAUGCGAGAUAAGCAUUUUACACGGUAGAUGUUCAAUAAUUUUGUUUCUGUUUCUUUUUUAUUUGCUUUUGUUCUUAUGUUUUUUUUUGUAAACAUUUGAUUAGUCCUAUAUUUUGUAAUGACACUAUGAUAUUGUUAUGCUAAUCUUAAAUAUUUGGUCA
This is a long non-coding RNA of Brassica napus (rape), 1325 nucleotides long. RefSeq lists it as uncharacterized. Lineage: Eukaryota; Viridiplantae; Streptophyta; Magnoliopsida; Brassicales; Brassicaceae. The record is from RefSeq and is a predicted model, not a curated record. The transcript has 3 exons.